UUGCUUCUGCACCAUAAAGAAAUUAGACAUCGAUAAUAAAUACUCAGUUCUUUUUAAUUCGAUUACAGUGUUCACUCUUUCUGCUUAUGUAUGUUCUGUCUUUGCUUCGCUUUUUUUUUUUUCUAUUGGGGCAGGGUAGGCCGGUGAUGAUCGUAUUUGGAUGUAAGAAGAUAGGUUGGGUGUAUAUUUAUUGAAAUGAACAUGUAUUAAUGGAGAUUGUUUUCUGGCACUGUAAAAAAGAUUACGCAUAUAUGGGUUAUCUUGUUCGAGAUGUGAAGGUUGAACAGAUAGUUUAAACAUAUUAAACUUAAAGUUUGACGACUUGAGAAAAAUUGAACAUACACUGACUUUUGGAGCUGAUAUUUGUGGCUCUUUUAAGAUAUGGCAUUCAUCAUCAGCAGGAACGGGCGGUGUCAAAACCUGAUCAUCCUCUUCGUGUGAAUUUUGUGUGCUAUUCAGUGGCUGGAUCAUUGCUACUGUCUCUCUGGAUUCAACAAGAUGAGGGUCCACUUCUUUAGAUCCAUUUGCUCCGAGGACUUCUAGUCCAUCUAGUGCAUCAAGCUUUUCAUGUUUUUCUUGUUCCACUUCCUGUACUGUUGGAUUUUGCUGUUUCAUUGCAUAUGUUUGAUUAAUUAUAAGCCCCUCACUUUUCUGCA
This is a long non-coding RNA of Cucumis melo (muskmelon), 656 nucleotides long. RefSeq lists it as uncharacterized. NCBI's taxonomy places the organism in Eukaryota, Viridiplantae, Streptophyta, Magnoliopsida, Cucurbitales, Cucurbitaceae. The transcript has 2 exons. The record is from RefSeq and is a predicted model, not a curated record.